Molecule: long non-coding RNA, 265 nt
Organism: Hibiscus syriacus
Lineage: Eukaryota; Viridiplantae; Streptophyta; Magnoliopsida; Malvales; Malvaceae
Exons: 3
Source: RefSeq, a predicted model, not a curated record
CAUAAACCCUAAUUUUCUCAGGCUCCUUGCAGCUAAACGGAUCCUCCGCUUCUCCAUCAAUAGGUUUAUAGAACGGGUUGAGACAGCAGCAAACAAUGGCUCCAAAAGCUGAGAAGAAGGCAGAGCCAAAGGCACAGGCCUUGAAGGCUGCGAAAGUAGUGAAAUCUAGACCACUUUUAAGAAGAAGACUAAGAAGAUCCGUACAAAAGUUACAUUUCACAGGCCAAAGACCUUGAGGGCCCGUUUGGAUCAAGUAUUUUAUCAU